AGUGGUUCUGAAAUCGCUGCGCUAGGGGCGACUGCAACCAAGCGUUGCGGCAAGUUACGGUGGGAGCUUCUGUCCGUGCUGUGUGAUUGCGACGAGGGGACCGCCGCCAGCAGCAGCGUAUCGCCGAUUUCGUCUUUCGGUUUGCACUGCAUCUUUCAUUGUGAUAUGGGAGAUCGCAACGGACAGAGACGAUCAGAUGCAUACGAACCACUACCAGCGGGGACCUGUGACCUGUGCCAUAUUUCUCUUAACGUCUCAGGUAUUCAAGAAAUGCCAACAUCCAGAAGACGCCAUCUUAUCCAGCACGUUAUGGGUACACUCUGGUGGCUCCCGCCCUUGCAUCCUACCACCACUGUGUCCUGACUACGUCCACUAGAGAGUUCGAAGCCUUUGGCAGCUCCUGCUGUCCUGCCACCACCGUGUCCUGACUACGUCCACUAGGGAGUUGGCAGCCUUCGUGAUGAUGCCAAGCAGGCUGGAAGCCGACAGAAAGAUUAAGGUUGCCUCGAAAUUUUACCAAAGCCGUACCACACACUCGGGCAAGGCCUUUUUGCAAAUGGCGUAUAACCAGGCUCAACGCAUGAGUGUCGAGUGAGUCUGGAGAUCAAGGCAACCUGCUGUGCAACCAGCAUGCAACCUUUGGUGGCCCCUCUACAUGUUCCACCUAUUUCACAGCUGCACCUCCGCCGCAACUUAUCCAAACAGCAUCACCAACUGUGGUCACUCAUCGAACCAUGGAUGAAUGUUGGGGUGGAGUGAUUUGAAGAGACAUUCUAUUUGUCUCUUCAAAUUCUUAGCAAAUACUUGUGUUAUUAUAAUUAAUAUGUGUCUUUAGUGCCGAGUUUUUAAUGGUUCCUUUCUAUUAGAAUUCUCACCAUCGAUUCCUGGUAUUAUAAUGUAUGUCUUUAUGCCCAGUUUUUCGUAGUUGUUUCGUACUUGUGUAUGUAAUUGAUAGGUUCAUACUUGUUAUACAGAAGGCUAAAAUGCAAACUUACAGCAUUUUUUUUCUUUCUUUUGAUAAUCUACAGCACUGCAAAGGGUUCAAGAAAUGUAACCUAACGUGGGCUCUUGUGCAGGAAAAAUUUAAGAGCAAUAUAGAGUACUUAUUUCAAACACCCAUUAUUCUUGGAAAAGUCAAGAAUAUAGGAGCACAAAAAAGAAAAUAUUAAACUAGAGAAACAUGAGUUCCCCUCAUAAGUCUGAUAAUAAUGCGACUUCCUUUCACUGCAAAGAUACCAGUAAUGUACUCGCAUACAAGGUUUCAAACAAGAAAGCUAUGAUGCCCUUGGCAUUUCUCAGUGCCUAUUUGCCACACUGACGAAUGUCAAAGGCAUCGUAGGUUUCAUGCACACAUUGGUUGUGUUACACUUUUGAGUAUUGCAUUUCUCAAACACAAAGGUUUACAGCAGUGCUUUAAAUAGCAAGUGCAUUUCCUAAUUUAUUAGUACAAGAGUAACAGUACAGAUCAUGUAAAAAUUAUUUUACAGACUAUAUGUCCAUGGAUGCACGCUUCUGAUGACAUAGCAGUGACGUGUUCGUGGGAUGAAUGUCUUUAUUUCAGAUUUAAAUAUUGGCUUCCAGGUCUGGGUUAGUCUCCUACACUGAGUAGUCUAGGUCAGAGCCCAUUUACUAGAGAAAGUGAAUUAAACUAGGAAUUAUAAACAUGAAAAGAUCUUGUUUAGGACACCAAUAAGACAAUCAGCAAGGUUCUUUGGUUAUUCAUUUCCAAAUUUGUGAGGAUAUAUUUUAUGACUGGUUUCAAUAUUGUGAAAACAAAUAUUUGUUUAUUGUCACACUAGAGUUGGCUGCCCCCAUUUGUAUACAACCCCUUUACAGGCUAAAAAUUCAGUGUGUUACCCUAUUUACUCGCAUAAUGAUCGCACUUUUUUGUAAAAAAAAUUGACUCAAAUUCAGGGGUGCGAUCAUUACGCUGGUUAAAUUUCCCGCAAAAAGAAAAAAAUAUAUUAUCUGGCAUUUACUACGGGAUGACAACAGGUCAACAAAUAGGCGGCUGCUGCUGUAUGUAGUGCAGGACACGAAAAAAAAUGGUGGCCGGCAGAGCAAGCCGAACGCGCUGAUUGCGUUUUUCUUCUCGUGAGUACAUUACAGUGCAUUCAAACAGUUUCUUCCAUAUUAGUAAUGAAUAACAUCGGCGAGUUUGCGGCAAUAGCAUAGCCAUGCCCACUUUGAGGGGACAGAGAUGGGCGCGCUUAGCUCUGCCAGUGACAUAGGAACACAUGGUGGGCAUGCUGCGGAAACUGCGGCAUUUGUCUUCACCACUAUCCUAAUGUGGCACGUUUCCGCUAAGGGUGGGCGAAUAUCUUAGCUGCGUUACAAACGUCGGUGAAUGAAUAGGGUACACUUCUAACGUAUCAGUGUAAACGUGGCUGCUAUCAUUGCCGCUCGCGAUUUGUUGCGUGCCCACAAGUGCAGAUGAGAAGAAUCGAAAGACGCCUUUUUUGUUGUUUUUGUUGACCACAACCAUUAUAAAGCCUACACAUAAUAAAGGAAAGUUUGGUUGUAGCUUUUUUUUGUCGUAGAAGUGCAGAAAGUGAUGAAAGGAAUGAAAUGGGGCAUCUGCUUAAGAAAGUUUUUUGCAUGCAGUCUGCUUGGUUUGUCUUGAAGAGUCGUUCGCAUAGCAGUCGACAGAUGGUAAGCGCGAUCAUUAUUAGCUAGAUUUGGCACAUGACACAUCACUGCGGCAAGUUCGGGGUGAAAUCGUUACAUGGGAAAUUUAAAAAAUCGAAUUUUGACGACAAAAUUUAGGAGUGCGAUCAUUACGCAAGUGCAAUCAUUAUGCGAGUAAAUACGGUAAUAGGCUGUUUUUGGUUUCGUGCACUCUAUGUUAAGGGAUGCAAAUGGUGACAUACAACAGAAUGCAAAAAUGACUAAUGAAUUCAAGCAGGGCAUGGGGCUUUUUAGGCAGAUGCGUGCGUGUGCUAUUUAUAAAGCUCCCCAUGGUAUGCCUGAAGGCAUUUUCUAACACUUUGGUAGAAUACACUGACACCCCCUUAUUAACUCUUCGAAACAACUUUUAUAUAUUUGUACUAGAGAUUUGAAUAUACUGUCAUUCAUAAAGUGUUUUAUUAGAUUUGAAUUGUCAUUUAUUUUUGUGUAGCUGCUGUUUUUCAGUUAUGUCCUACACAGUGGCAAAAUAUUUUUGUGGGCACUUUCCUGUGUAUAAAAUUUUCAGAAAUAGCUUCAUGCUGUAUCUUAUUUAGCUACUCGUAUACUGCAAAGUGGUGAUACCUAUCCAAAUGGCUUGUACAAUUACUGGAACUAUGCAAAAAUAUAUUAGGCCACAUUAAAUAAUUUUACAGAUUGCAAUUUCAAUUAGACAUCAGCAUUCUGCAUAUCUUGAAGAGUACGUAUGCCAAAUUUCGAAGUAUAGGACAACUAUAAGUGCAUAAGAAGUAUGCAAGAUUAGUAGGCAGGCCUCUCUGCCUGCCUACUAAUUUUGCAUACUUCUAGUAACUUUACAUGCUCUUUGAAUAGAUAUCGGCACUUUGCAGUCUACAAAGAGCUGAGGUAGCUACAGCACACUGCUUUUUGUGAAAAUUUACACAAGAAAGUGCCCGCAAAGAUCAGUGUAUUUUCCCAUUGUGUAGGACAUAACUCAAGAAGCAGCUAAAGAAAUACUGACAUAUAUGACAUCUGCAUGAAGAACUCUACAAUUUGCUCUCUUUUCAAGCCUCUAGCACGAAUAAUAAGACUGUUUCGAGUAAUAUUCAAUCAGCAAAACAUGCCCCUUGCUAUAGUGACCUACAACCUAGAAACGCAAAUUGAACGCAAGUCUUUUUGUUGAAGCGACUCUGGGCUGUCUUCCCAAGGGCUUCUGUUAAACACUGAAAUUUCCUGCAUUUACCAGAAGUGCAAUACUCAAAUGUUUGUGUAUGUGCAAUUGGUACUGGCA
This is a non-coding RNA of Dermacentor albipictus, 3913 nucleotides long. The record is from RefSeq and is a predicted model, not a curated record. Lineage: Eukaryota; Metazoa; Arthropoda; Arachnida; Ixodida; Ixodidae.